RNAcentral lists this non-coding RNA (30 nucleotides) under Rattus norvegicus (Norway rat). The record is from RNAcentral. Lineage: Eukaryota; Metazoa; Chordata; Mammalia; Rodentia; Muridae.
UAGAUGAAAAGAUUUGAAGGUGAAGUAGGA